RNAcentral lists this ribosomal RNA (240 nucleotides) under uncultured bacterium. RNAcentral's name for it is "partial 16S ribosomal RNA". It matches the Rfam family "Bacterial small subunit ribosomal RNA", at positions 15 to 235 of the family's 1533-position model. The record is from RNAcentral.
GAUCCUGGCUCAGGAUGAACGCUGGCGACGUGCUUAACACAUGUAAGUCGAACGAAGCACUCUAUUUGAUUUUCUUCGGAAAUGAAGAUUUUGUGACUGAGUGGCGGACGGGUGAGUAACGCGUGGGUAACCUGCCUCAUACAGGGGGAUAACAGUUGGAAACGACUGCUAAUACCGCAUAAGCGCACAGGAUUGCAUGAUCCGGUGUGAAAAACUCCGGUGGUAUGAGAUGGACCCGCG